AUCCAGCUUACAAGUCCUAAAUAGGAUGAAACAAGCGUCCUGGAU
Molecule: non-coding RNA, 45 nt
Organism: Schistosoma mattheei
Lineage: Eukaryota; Metazoa; Platyhelminthes; Trematoda; Strigeidida; Schistosomatidae
Source: Rfam